This 72-nucleotide transfer RNA is filed under the name Streptantibioticus cattleyicolor NRRL 8057 = DSM 46488. Its description in RNAcentral is "tRNA-Gln (TTG) (tRNA-Gln-TTG-1-1)". It matches the Rfam family "tRNA". Rfam says of the family: Transfer RNA (tRNA) molecules are approximately 80 nucleotides in length. Their secondary structure includes four short double-helical elements and three loops (D, anti-codon, and T loops). The record is from Rfam by way of RNAcentral. RNAcentral also lists the same sequence under 1 other name. Lineage: Bacteria; Bacillati; Actinomycetota; Actinomycetes; Kitasatosporales; Streptomycetaceae.
UCCCCUGUGGUGUAAUUGGCAACACUGCCGGUUUUGGUCCGGUAAUUCCAGGUUCGAGUCCUGGCGGGGGAG